RNAcentral lists this ribosomal RNA (1429 nucleotides) under Triticum aestivum (bread wheat). RNAcentral describes it as "partial small subunit ribosomal RNA". The record is from RNAcentral. Lineage: Eukaryota; Viridiplantae; Streptophyta; Magnoliopsida; Poales; Poaceae.
CGGAUUUUUAGAACAUCUGCGCCGGGGCCGCGUUAUCCCAGCGGUAGAAUCUUUCCACUGUACCUCGAGAUGCCUGACAAGUAAACCAGUUUUGUUGGAACUGUUACCGUGUAGCAGGCUAUUACGGUCGUGUGUGGUCACGUGGGUUCUGCUCCAUUUUGGCUCAGGGUAGCUUUGUCUUCCACCGCCGCCCCCUCUCCCGCUGCAAGCCCGUGACCACAUCUGACUCUCUCUUUUCUCGUUCUUUGACUUAUAGCUAGAUGGAUGGGCUGCAAGGCGGCGAUUCGAUGGCGCUGGCGCUCGGCCGCGACAUCAAUCCGCCGGCGCGGCGAUAGAUCCAACAUCGCCGCCGGCAAUCCAAUCUUAUCGGUGUGUGUGCUACUCCAUCCUGUGCUGGAAGAAUCAGGAGCACACCAGCGCCCGAGCAGUAAUGGUGGCAAGCCGAGCGACGGCGGCUGGGCGGAUUCCGAUACGGGACUCACGCCGGAGUCGAGAGUAGCUGCUUUCGCCCGGAUCCAAGGCCAUGGAGUGCCUUGAUUGCAAGAACCCGUAUGCUGUGUGUAGAGAUGUCGAGGGACCAAGUUGCCACAUAUCUGUUCCAAUGACAACUUUCUAUUGGUUUGAAUCUGCAAGUUCUUGGAGCAUAUAUUGAACAUAUGCAAUCCGUUGCGACCAAAGAAAAUAAGCCUGUGGGUAACCCAAUUUUCGCAACAAGAGAACUACUGGAGUAUGAAGUUAUGAUCGACCAUGGAGAUAAAAGGACCAGAAUUCAUGAAAUCGGUUGGCAAAGGUUUCUUGAUGAGUAUGCAGUGCGGCUUGGUGACAUGGUAUAUAUCUGCCUCCCUCGUGGUAAUGGGAGAUUUUUUGUGGAGGUUGAGAGGGGUGGUAUAAGGCAACUCCCACUUCCUUGUCAGUAAGAUUUACACAUCGUAUUUGCAAAACUGAUCUGGCACUCCUUGUCAAGCAUUUUACAUUUCACUGAAUAAUCUGUUUUUUGGCUUUUUAAAAUGUGAUUCUGGCGAGCGUUGAAUGGACUACCCCUGCUGCAUGAUGAUACAGGUUCCCAUGUAACGGCUUCUUUCAAAAAGGCAAACGAUGGCAGACUUCCAUACACGGACAACUUGAUUUGGAGGAAGACGAUCUUGUGGUUAUCACAAUUCACAGGCACUGGGUCUCCCUCCACAACAGUCCGGAUCUGCAUCCUAUCUUAAACUACUAAAUUAUGCCUAAUAUGCACUAGGGGCAAUACCGAUAUAUAGCUCACGGGAUGCUUGUUUCUUCUGUGUAAGUCGUCGUUUAAGGAUUUGUGGCAUUGUCAGUGUGGUCUAUGGCUAUAUGUAAGUUUGAACCUAUGCAGUAUCCGUGUCUAUUUUUAAGUUUUAGUGGCAUGUGACCAUCAAUGAUCACCCAUCCUGCUUUUUAUGUGCUG